This 400-nucleotide ribosomal RNA is filed under the name Candidatus Bathyarchaeota archaeon. RNAcentral describes it as "bacterial SSU rRNA". It matches the Rfam family "Archaeal small subunit ribosomal RNA", at positions 279 to 681 of the family's 1478-position model. The record is from RNAcentral. Lineage: Archaea; Thermoproteati; Candidatus Bathyarchaeota.
GGAGCGGGAGCCCGGAGAUGGGUACUGAGACAAGGACCCAGGCCCUACGGGGCGCAGCAGUCGCGAAACCUUUGCAAUACACGAAAGUGUGACAGGGCUAUCCCGAGUGCCAUCCGCUGAGGAAGGCUUUUACCCAGUCUAGAACGCUGGGGGAAUAAGGAGAGGGCAAGUCUGGUGUCAGCCGCCGCGGUAAUACCAGCUCUCCGAGUGGUGUGGAUGUUUAUUGGGCCUAAAGCAUCCGUAGCUGGCUAGGUAAGUCCCUUGUUAAAUCCACCGAAUUAAUCGUUGGAUCGCGGGGGAUACUGCUUGGCUAGGGGACGAGAGAGGCAGACGGUAUUUUCGGGGUAGGGGUGAAAUCCUAUAAUCCCGGGAAGACCACCAGUGGCGAAGGCUGUCUGCU